This 231-nucleotide long non-coding RNA is filed under the name Capsicum annuum. RNAcentral describes it as "long non-coding RNA (CANN_LNC010112)". The record is from RNAcentral. Lineage: Eukaryota; Viridiplantae; Streptophyta; Magnoliopsida; Solanales; Solanaceae.
GUAAGUUUAGGAGUGAUGGGAACAUUACAGGUAAGUUGGAGUGGUCAAAUAUGUAAGGCUCAAGUAUGAUUCACAUUAGAGUCGUGCCUCAAAUUAUGUUAAUCCGACCCAAAAAGUUUCGUGGUGCAACUUUAUUUUGUGACUUUCAAUGAGGUCUAUGGAAGUAGCAUAGGGAUCGAGCCAAUAGGCCCAAUCCCAAAGCCCACCACUGAUUUCUAUGGUGGUACGGGG